GAUGAACGCUAGCGGGAGGCUUAAUACAUGCAAGUCGAACGGCAACAGGACGUAUAGUAAUAUAAGUUGCUGGCGAGUGGCGCACGGGUGAGUAACGCGUACACAACCUACCCUUAAGAGGGGGAUAACUCAGAGAAAUUUGAGAUAAUACCCCAUAAUAUCAAAUAUUUGCAUAGAUAUAUGAUUAAAGUUCCGGCGCUUAAGGAUGGGUGUGCGUUAGAUUAGGUAGUUGGUGAGGUAACGGCUCACCAAGCCGACGAUCUAUAGGGGCGUGAGAGCGUGAUCCCCCACACGGGUACUGAGACACGGACCCGACUCCUACGGGAGGCAG
RNAcentral lists this ribosomal RNA (331 nucleotides) under uncultured Bacteroidota bacterium. RNAcentral's name for it is "bacterial SSU rRNA". It matches the Rfam family "Bacterial small subunit ribosomal RNA", at positions 28 to 351 of the family's 1533-position model. Lineage: Bacteria; Pseudomonadati; Bacteroidota. The record is from RNAcentral.